Molecule: unclassified non-coding RNA, 18 nt
Filed under: Mus musculus (house mouse)
Lineage: Eukaryota; Metazoa; Chordata; Mammalia; Rodentia; Muridae
Description: oocyte_clustered_small_RNA10229
Source: RNAcentral
AUGUGCAGGCAGGUGUAG